AAUUUCAGAAUGGUAGUCAAGUCAGCUUUCCUUACGAGACAGAAAGAAAGAUUCCUGGAAUUGUGUUCAUGUAUUGUGGAGAAAACAAAUGAGACCAUGAGGUAAUGGAAGCAUAUCCAAAUAAUGGCUGCACAAAAAGAAGCAGAAGACAAGUCCGGGCACUAUUUCAACUGGAAGGGAAGGAAGAAGCUAAAGGACUGGAGAGUUUCCCUCUAAAUUACGCUUUAAAUAUGCUUGAAAUUGUUUUAAUGUUUAACUUAAGAUAAUUGUUUAAUUGGUUUGUCUUAAUUUGUGUACCAAUUGGUUAUUUUCAUAUAUUUUCCAUCUGUUUCUAUUUGUUGUAAGCUAAUUUGGAUACUGUGUUGGGAGAAAAGACAGGAUAUUAACUAACUACAUAACUAAUUAACAUCUGGAGAGCUAUCCAUUUCCCAUCCUAAUAUGUUUCAAGGAUUGUCCAGUCCAAGUCUAGUUUGAAGAAAAAGAAGCACAAGAAGGGAGAGCAAGAAGGGAACUUGAUUGGAACCUGGUUAUCAUCAGCCUACACCUGGACAUCAGAUUGACUAAACACAGGUCUGGUCACAAUUCUCACUACCAUCUUGAGAUGUAGUUUAUUUCUAUAAACAUUCUAAUUACAGUGUUCCCUCACUUAUCGUGGGGUUAGGUUCCAGGACCACCGGCAAUAAGUGAAAAUCCGCAAAGUAGGGACACUAUAUUUAUUUUAAUCUUUAUACAUUAUUUUAGUAGUUAUACACUAUUUUAAGUCUUUAUCAACCAGUCAUGUUUUGAUAAAUCACCUUCUCCACCUCCCGUUGCCGCUUGGUCUCCUUUUCUCUCCCUUUAGCUUCUUCCUCCUCCCUUCCUUAGGAUGUAAAUUGUAAUUUUUUAUGAUUUAUAAUAGUCUUUUAUAGUUUAUUGAAAAACCGCGAAACAGCGAAUCCGCAAAAAGUGAACCGCCAAGUAGUGAGGGAACACUGUAUAUUUAAACUUGUAUCCGUACCGAUAAAAAAAGCAUAUGAACAUUUGUUGCCUCUUCCUCUGUUUUCUUCUUUUGGUAAUGUGCAAGUGGCCACACUGGUUGAAAGUGAAGUCUAUGGGGCAGAGCAAAGACUAGCCAGAUACCCAAGGUUUGGAAUAUAUAUGCUUGCAUCAGUCAACUUGAGACUUAUAACUCUUUUUUAACUAGCUCUCCUACCCUGUGUUUACACGGGGUAAAUAUAACAUAUUCCCCUCAAAUUCAUUGCAAGUGGUCUACAUGUCAUACAAUUUGUUUAAGCACAAAAGCACAGCUUCCAGGCAUUAAUCUCACAAGAAGCUUUCAGGUGGAACUCACUCCCGAGGGAGAUUAGACAGG
This is a long non-coding RNA of Anolis carolinensis (green anole), 1351 nucleotides long. RefSeq lists it as uncharacterized. The transcript is spliced from 3 exons. The record is from RefSeq and is a predicted model, not a curated record. NCBI's taxonomy places the organism in Eukaryota, Metazoa, Chordata, Lepidosauria, Squamata, Anolidae.